CCCUUAGAUGUCCUGGGCUGCACGCGCGCUACACUGAUGUGUCCAGUAAGCACCUAACCUCUUCCGAAAGGAACGGGUAACCUUUGCAAAGCACAUCGUGAUGGGGAUAGAUUAUUGCAAUUAUUAGUCUUGAACGAGGAAUGCCUAGUAAGCACAAGUCAUCAGCUUGUGUUGAUUACGUCCCUGCCCUUUGUACACACCGCCCGUCGCUCCUACCGAUUGAAUGUUCCGGUGAGCUCUUCGGACUGCGCGGUCUGCAGUUUCUGCGUUCCGUGCGGAAAGUUGCGCAAACCUUAACAUUUAGAGGAAGGAGAAGUCGUAACA
RNAcentral lists this ribosomal RNA (324 nucleotides) under uncultured eukaryote. RNAcentral's name for it is "partial 18S ribosomal RNA". It matches the Rfam family "Eukaryotic small subunit ribosomal RNA", at positions 1470 to 1796 of the family's 1831-position model. The record is from RNAcentral.